AUGGAAUUCAUAGGGAAAGGAGGUUGGGCGGCUCCUCGUCUUAAGGAUGCUGCUUUGUCGGAUGACAAGCUGCGUGGAGCUUACUUGGAGAUUGUUAUGAUAAUGAGGACACUUUACCAAAAGUGCAAGCUGGUCCAUGGCGAUUUGAGUGAAUAUAACAUUCUUUGUUUUGAGGGCCACUUACAUAUCAUUGAUGUUUCGCAAUCAAUUGACCUCGAUCACCCUUCGGCGUUGGACUUCUUAAAGGAAGAUUGUUUGCAUGUUUCUAACUUCUUUAAGAAACGAGGUGUUGGUGUCAUGACAGUAACAGAUCUAAUUAAUUUUGUGAUUGAUAGAAGCAUUGCGGAUGACGAUGUGGAUGAUUACCUAGAACAGGUUCAGCAAAAGAUGUUGGAGAAUGGAGAUAUACUCGCAAAUGAUGAUGAAAUAUCUCCAACAGUCAUGGUGCAGACGUUGGAUUACGUGAAGCAGUGUGAGGCUGAUAUAGUCAACAUGUCAAUGUUGCAACGCCCAUCCUUCUUGGGUUAUGAGCCACCAGCGGAUAAGCUUUAUAACCAGCCAUUGCUAGGAUUUGUGCGGGCUGAAAGAAACACGCGUAGUGAUGAAAAGCAGCAGCAAGAAGAGUUGCCACAUAACGCAGUGAAUGUGCAAAAUAAGUGGUCGUUGCAAAGUACUCCCAAGAUGGGACCUGAGGAGAGGAAGGCUGCUCGGAAGGAGAUGAAGAAGAAAAUGAAAGAAGAGAAGAGAGAAGCUCGGAAGACAAAGAGGCCAAAGGCCGUGAAGAAGAAGAAGAAGAAAAUGGCAAAAGCAAAGUGCACGCGGUAG
Molecule: ribosomal RNA, 825 nt
Filed under: Triticum aestivum (bread wheat)
Lineage: Eukaryota; Viridiplantae; Streptophyta; Magnoliopsida; Poales; Poaceae
Description: partial small subunit ribosomal RNA
Source: RNAcentral